RNAcentral lists this long non-coding RNA (1935 nucleotides) under Triticum aestivum (bread wheat). RNAcentral describes it as "long non-coding RNA (TAES_LNC021673)". The record is from RNAcentral. Lineage: Eukaryota; Viridiplantae; Streptophyta; Magnoliopsida; Poales; Poaceae.
UUCGGCGCCAUUCUCGUUCAGCUUAGGGAUGAAGUCGCCAGUAUUGGUGUACUCGGUUGUAACGCCCUCGAUGUGGCUAUAUCUCCCACGUGUCGAAGCACGACUUAGAGGCAUAACCGCAUUGAAAGCAUAUGUCGCAAGUGAGGUAAUCUUCACACAACCCAUGUAAUACAAUAGGGGAAAAGAGAUACAUAGUUUACUUACAAUCGCCACUUCACCCAAUUACAUGAAUAAAGCAUUACAUCAAUCAGAUACAAUCAAGGCCCGACUACGGAGCCAAAAUAAAAGAAGAACCCCAAAUGCGACAACAGGUCCCCGAUCAACCCCAACUGGGCUCCACUACUGAUCAACUAGAACGAAACACCACAAAGGACAAGAUCUGCAUCGAGCUCCUCCUGAGCUUGGUUGCGUCACCUGCUCGGUAACAUCGGCACCUGCAAACUGGUUUUGGAAGUAUUUGUGAGCCAUGGGGACUCAGCAAUCUCGCACCCUCGCGAUCAAGACUAUUUAAGCUUAUGGGUAAGGUAAAAGGUAUGAGGUGGAGCUGCAGCAAGCGACUAGCAUAUAUGGUGGCUAACAUACGCAAAUGGGAGCGAGAAGAGAAGGCAAAGCACGGUCGAUAAAAGUAUGAUCAAGAAGUCAUCCUAAAACAACCUACGUCAAGCAUAACUCCAACAACCGUGUUCACUUCCCGGACUCCGCCGGAAAGAGACCAUCACGGUUACACAUGCUGUUGAUUCAUUUUAAUUAAGGUCGACUUUAGGUUUUCUACAACCGGACGUUAACAAAUUCCCAUCUGCCCAUAAUCGCGGGCACGGCUUUCGAAAGUUCAAAUCCCUGCAGGGGUGUCCCAACUUAGCCCAUCACAAGCUCUCACGGUCAACGAAGGAAUAGACCUCCACCCGAGACAUUCUGAUCAGACUCGGUAUCCCGGUACAACAAGACAUUUCGACAGGGUAAAACUAAACCAGCAACACCGCCCGAAUGUGCCGACAAAUCCCGAUAGGAGCUGCACAUAUCUCUUUCUCGGGGCACACUCAGAUGAGCCAGACGUCGGGUAAGCCAGCCCAGAGUUGCCCCUGGUAGCCUCGGACAUCGCUCAGUUGGACCAACACUCAGAGGAGCACUGGCCCGGGGGGGGGGUAAAAUAAUGAUGACCCUUGGGCUGGCCGACCCAAGGGAAAGAAAAAGGCUAGGUGGCGAAUGGUAAAACCAAUGUUGGACAUUGCUGGAAGAGCUUUACUUAAGGCGAACUGUCAAGGGGUUCCCAUAAUAGCCCAACCGCGUAAGGGACACAAAAUCCGGGAACAUAACACCGAUAUGACGGAAACUAGGGCGGCAAGAGUGGAACACCAGGCAUAAGGCCGAGCCUUCCACCCUUUGCCAAGUAUAUAGGUGCAUUAAGAUAACAUGGCAAUAUAAUGAUACCCCAACAAGUAAAUAAAAGAUGUUCCAACAAGGAACGACCUCCAAUCUUCACCUACAACUAGCAACGCUAUAAGAGGGGCUGAGCAAAGCGGUAACAUAGCCAAUCAACAGUUUGCUAGGACAAUGGUGGGUUAGAGGUUUGACAUGGCAAUUUGGGAGGCUUGCAAGCAAGUGGUAGGCAUCGUAGCAAUGGCAUAGCAAAAGAGCGAGCAGACUAGCAUAGCAAAGAUAGUAGUGAUAUCGAGGGUAUGAUCAUCUUGCCUGAGAUCCCGCAAGGAAGAAGAACGAGUCCAUGAAGAAGACAAACGGACGUAGCCGAACGGGUCCUCACAAUCAUGAUGUUAUCGGAACCAACCCGAAGAAGCAACACCGGAAAGAAGCAAACAACAUGGUAAACAACCACCACAUAGACAUGGCAUGAUGCACAAUCAAGUAUGAUGCAUGUCCGGUUUAAUGAAGCAUGGCAUGACAAAGUGCACAAACAACCCUACAAGUUAAGUGGAGCUC